UCACAUGAUACAACCAAAAAGGGUAAAAGUACAACAAUGAAACGACUUGUCAUUCCCAAUGGCCAAUUUUAUAGGAUUCAAGUCAGACAUGGGAAUCAAGAGUAUUGAAGCUGUCGGCCAUAAAACAUAGUUACUGAUUGAUGGAAAUGGCCAAAAUAUAAGAUAGAUAAGAAGAAAGUAUACUCACUUUUUGAAAGUGACUUUCUGCGGUAAAACUUAAUGAGCUUAAGGAACAAUAUUUCAUAAGCAGGAAAGUCAUUAACUUUGGAAAGAUUGUUCCCUCUUGAAGAUAUUUCAUAAGUUUUUCUUUGAAUCGACACCAGAUUCACUAUUUUCAGCGAUAGGACGUUAUGGUUUGUAGUUUCAGAGUGAAAGUAUUGAAGAAACAAUCGUUUGCAAAAAGUGAAAAAAAGAAGUCGAGGUUUGAGAGCGAGAUAAGGGUG
RNAcentral lists this long non-coding RNA (443 nucleotides) under Malus domestica (apple). RNAcentral describes it as "long non-coding RNA (MDOM_LNC012207)". The record is from RNAcentral. Lineage: Eukaryota; Viridiplantae; Streptophyta; Magnoliopsida; Rosales; Rosaceae.